Molecule: long non-coding RNA, 319 nt
Filed under: Chlamydomonas reinhardtii
Lineage: Eukaryota; Viridiplantae; Chlorophyta; Chlorophyceae; Chlamydomonadales; Chlamydomonadaceae
Description: long non-coding RNA (CREI_LNC001012)
Source: RNAcentral
GCCAUUCUGCACGACGAAGUGGAAGGUAAAGCUCUCCAGCUUGCCCAGGAUGACAUUCUGGACUGACGAGUCCUUGAACGUGAACAGGUUGUUCACGUCGUUCAGAAUGCAUUUGCUCGAGUCGGUGAGGUCCUGCUCGAGCGCUGCGUCCGCCUCCACUGGUGAUAGGAAGAAGCCAAAGUUCUCCCAGUUGCUAACGUCCUCCUGGCUCCCGUGCAGGCGAUAGAGCCCAAUAUCCCGAAUGGUGAUGUCCAACUUGCCGCCCUCCGCGAAGCCGAAGGCUUCCGUCAGGGGAAUCAGCGGUCGGUCAUCCUUAUCG